UUUUUCUUUUUUUCUUUUUAGGAGAGGCCAACUCCUUGCAGAUGUCAGUGGCAUUAGCAUUCUCUUUCUUGAUGUUAGGACCAUAGUCUACUGGACUUGCAGAAGAGAAUUGAUCUUAGCUUUGCUGGAGGCGUGUAGCCUACGAAUGAUGCUGGCCUGUCCUCUGUGCACUCCAGCCAGGUGUCCAGAUGUUUGUGGAACUUCCCGUUAUUCUAAGCUCUCAAGAUUCAUGGCAGACAAUUUACUCUAGUACAAACAAAACCUUCUAGGAUAAGCUUCUGGCAUUGCCGUGAGCUGUGGCAUAGGUUGCAGAUGUGUGCCAGAUCUGGUGUUGCUGUGGCUGUGGUAUAGGCCAGCAGCUGCAGCUCUUAUUUGACCCCUAGCCUGGGAACUUCCAUAUAGUGUGGGUACAGCCCUAAAAGGGAAAAAAUAUAAAAUAAAAUAAAAUAAAAGGCAAGUAAAAUACUAUGGAACAGAAAGUUUAGAGAAAGUCAGUUAACCUCGUCAAGUCUUAAUUCCUUCCAUUGCAAAUGGGGUUAAAAAUAGGACCUACAGGAAGUCAUUAUGAGGAGUCACUGAUACAAGGCACAUGAGAUUCAUAGAAUAUUCCCGACUUAGAGCAGAGAAAUUAGGAGUACUCAUCUUCUGAGUCCAAAUCCUAGCUCUAUUACUUGCUUGUGGUUGGACCUUGGGAAAUUAUAUAACUCUCCGUUCUUUGAUUUUUCUCAUUAUAACAUGGGAUUAAUAAUAAUACCUCAUUCAUAGAUUUAUUAUCCUCAUAACAAAUGAACUAAUGUUUAUAAAGCACUUCUUAUAGGGUAAUGCUUAGUUAUUGUUUGCUAACUAAAUAACGUAGUUAUAAGUACACAAAUGUAAAUUAUCAUUAUUAUAUAUUUAUUAAAAACAAAUAGAAUAUUUUUGGAAAACUUAAAAAUUACCAUAUGAUUACCUUGAGAAUUUAGGAAUCUAAAUAAGGAUAUAAUUAUGAACUUAAUAUAUUGUUAAAUCAAUAUUAAACACAAAUAUAUUUUAAAGAAAACAAGCUAGAAUUUUAUUUGUCAUAACAACACUGAAAAAAUUAUUUUUCAAUCCUUACUAAUGCUAAAACUAAUGGGCAUUCUUUACUCAUAGUUUUAAUUUUGUUU
RNAcentral lists this long non-coding RNA (1145 nucleotides) under Sus scrofa (pig). Its description in RNAcentral is "lncRNA (ENSSSCG00025009786.1)". Lineage: Eukaryota; Metazoa; Chordata; Mammalia; Artiodactyla; Suidae. The record is from RNAcentral.